Molecule: ribosomal RNA, 468 nt
Filed under: uncultured bacterium
Lineage: Bacteria
Description: partial 16S ribosomal RNA
Rfam family: Bacterial small subunit ribosomal RNA
Source: RNAcentral
GACGAACGCUGGCGGCGUGCUUAACACAUGCAGGUCGAACGGAAAGGCCCUGCUUUUGUGGGGUGCUCGAGUGGCGAACGGGUGAGUAACACGUGAGUAACCUGCCCUUGACUUUGGGAUAACUUCAGGAAACUGGGGCUAAUACCGGAUAGGAGCUCCUGCUGCAUGGUGGGGGUUGGAAAGUUUCGGCGGUUGGGGAUGGACUCGCGGCUUAUCAGCUUGUUGGUGGGGUAGUGGCUUACCAAGGCUUUGACGGGUAGCCGGCCUGAGAGGGGGACCGGCGACAUGGGGACUGAGAUACGGCCCAGACGCCUACGGGAGGCAGCAGUGGAGAAUAUUGCACAAUGGGCGGAAGCCUGAUGCAGCAACGCCGCGUGCGGGAUGACGGCCUUCGGGUUGUAAACCGCUUUCGCCUGUGACGAAGCGUGAGUGACGGUAAUGGGUAAAGAAGCACCGGCUAACUACGUG